GGGCCCGCACAAGCGGUGGAGCAUGUGGUUUAAUUCGAUGAUACGCGAGGAACCUUACCAGGGCUUAAAUGUAGUAUGACCGGCUUGGAAACAGGCCUUCUCUUCGGAGCAGAUUACAAGGUGCUGCAUGGUUGUCGUCAGCUCGUGCCGUGAGGUGUUAGGUUAAGUCCUGCAACGAGCGCAACCCCUAUUCUUAGUUGCCAGCGGUUCGGCCGGGGACUCUAAGAAGACUGCCAGCGCAAGCUGAGAGGAAGGUGGGGAUGACGUCAAAUCAUCACGGCCCUUACGUCCUGGGCUACACACGUGCUACAAUGGUAGAGACAGAGGGCAGCCACCUGGUGACUGGAUGCAAA
This 353-nucleotide ribosomal RNA is filed under the name uncultured bacterium. RNAcentral describes it as "bacterial SSU rRNA". It matches the Rfam family "Bacterial small subunit ribosomal RNA", at positions 917 to 1271 of the family's 1533-position model. The record is from RNAcentral.